Molecule: long non-coding RNA, 466 nt
Organism: Micropterus salmoides (largemouth bass)
Lineage: Eukaryota; Metazoa; Chordata; Actinopteri; Centrarchiformes; Centrarchidae
Exons: 2
Source: RefSeq, a predicted model, not a curated record
CUGAUAAAUCGCAUUAAUAUUCUCCUACAUAGUAUUAUAUUUAUAUAUUUAAUAAGACAUUGUAGUUCUACAGUGUCACCUUGCCUGUUCUGCUUUUAUUUUGAAAGGUGUCGUUUUCUUCUUAUGUUUUUUGUGACGCUAAACUUCCUGCUAUUUUUCUCUUCACAAUGUGGUGCUCACGCGUCGUCGGAAGAACGGUAAAAAACUGGUAAACACGUUAUUUAUCAUGUUCAUCUAUUUGAAUCUUGUAAAGAAGGAGUUUACAUUGUGAUUUUAUUAUUUUCGUAUUGUUUGUACAUGUUAUUUCUAAGACCUACGAACUGUGAGCGUGUGUCGAGCUAGAGAGCGUGAUAGCUGAUGGCGAAAACCAUUUGAUUAGCGUCCUUGGAGAGCGGAAUGAGUUUUCACGGUGUUCAUGGUGCAUGGUGCACGUUGAGAGGAAUAAUAAAUCGACACCCGUUUGAAA